CAGCAGCCACGGUAAUACGUAGGUCCCGAGCGUUGUCCGGAUUUAUUGGGCGUAAGCGAGCGCAGGCGGUUAGAUAAGUCUGAAGUUAAGGGCUGUGGCUUAACCAUGGUACGCUUUGGAAACUGUUUAACUUGAGUGCAAGAGGGGAGAGUGGAAUUCCAUGUGUAGCGGUGAAAUGCGUAGAUAUAUGGAGGAACACCGGUGGCGAAAGCGGCUCUCUGGCUUGUAACUGACGCUGAGGCUCGAAAGCGUGGGGAGCAAACAGGAUUAGAUACCCCAGUAGUCCCUGUCUCUUAUACAC
This 301-nucleotide ribosomal RNA is filed under the name uncultured bacterium. RNAcentral describes it as "partial 16S ribosomal RNA". It matches the Rfam family "Bacterial small subunit ribosomal RNA", at positions 509 to 809 of the family's 1533-position model. The record is from RNAcentral.